Molecule: ribosomal RNA, 253 nt
Filed under: uncultured bacterium
Lineage: Bacteria
Description: partial 16S ribosomal RNA
Rfam family: Bacterial small subunit ribosomal RNA
Source: RNAcentral
UACGUAGGGGGCAAGCGUUGUCCGGAUUUAUUGGGCGUAAAGAGCGUGUAGGCGGUCUGGUAGGUCCGUUGUGAAAACUCGAGGCUCAACCUCGAGACGCCGAUGGAAACCAUCAGACUAGAGUCCGGAAGAGGAGAGUGGAAUUCCUGGUGUAGCGGUGAAAUGCGCAGAUAUCAGGAGGAACACCGGUGGCGAAGGCGGGUCUCUGGGCCGGAACUGACGCUGAGGAGCGAAAGCGUGGGGAGCGAACAGG